CCAAUAUAAUUAUCAGCAGCCCAACUUGUCAAAUAACCCAUUCCAAAACAUAAAUUCUAAAUACCCACCGUACAACAAUACAUAAAAUCAACCACCCGACCCGCACGACUGAAACUCAGACGAAACCCAGAAAUCCCAGCAUUCACGCGAUGCAUCCUCCCAUCUCUCUUCGUACGAAGACCAUUGGAGAGGGUGAGAUGUCGAAAUAUCAUGCCCCGAUUGUCCUUCACUCAAAAUCGACCGCUCACCAUUAAAAUUUGUACACUAACCAAUGGAAAAUCCCUAUCUUUUAAGGGAUUUCAAAAAUUGUCAAAAAUCCCACAUCGUUUCUUCUAAGAUUUUUGGGUUUCUACAUAAACCCUCUUAAUUCACUCUUUUAGGAGAGGAUUUCCGGAGACCAAAAAUUUCGCAUAAAAUCUUUAGGAAUUCUUGGUUCCAUAAUUUAAUAUUUUUAAAACCUUUUUGUGGCUGUUUGAGUUUAGAGAGGUGGUGGAAUAGUCUCCGUUAAGCCUGUCAUUCGAUUAGCUGCCCGGGAAGAGUCCAAAUUGGACUCCCAUCCCUGGAACACUCCUCUUCUUGUGUCAACCUCCUUCAAAGUUUCGAAAUGGAGUUAAUAUUGUUCGGUUAAAAUACCAAGGCAGCAAUUUAGUAGCAAAGUAGCAGCAGUCCCAAAGGGAUCAAAAUUGGGAAUUUUGAACUAUAAUGAAUCCAAUUCAUACAAUAACAGGUUGCAGCAUUCACACAGGACAAAAAUGAGAAUAUUUUCUUUAGAUUUUGGAGUUCAAUUUGAUCGUGGCAGCAACAAAUAGUAUUUAGGCCAAGGGCCUGGAUCCUCACUAUUUAUUAUCUUGGUUAUAUGUUCUUAAUUUGUUUUUGUUUGGAAAUGCUAACAUUUUCUUCGAUUAACUUAGAUGAAUCCUUUGGAUGUUUUCGAA
Solanum lycopersicum (tomato) is the source of this 935-nucleotide long non-coding RNA. RefSeq lists it as uncharacterized. Lineage: Eukaryota; Viridiplantae; Streptophyta; Magnoliopsida; Solanales; Solanaceae. The record is from RefSeq and is a predicted model, not a curated record.